GACGAACGCUGGCGGCGUGCUUAACACAUGCAAGUCGAACGGAAAGGCCCUGCUUGCAGGGUACUCGAGUGGCGAACGGGUGAGUAACACGUGGGUGAUCUGCCCUGCACUUCGGGAUAAGCCUGGGAAACUGGGUCUAAUACCGGAUAGGAGCCAUUUUUAGUGUGAUGGUUGGAAAGUUUUUUCGGUGUAGGAUGAGCUCGCGGCCUAUCAGCUUGUUGGUGGGGUAAUGGCCUACCAAGGCGGCGACGGGUAGCCGGCCUGCGGGGGUGGACGGCCACAUUGGGACUGAGGUACGGCCCAGGCUCCUACGGGAGGCAGCAGUGGGGAAUAUUGCACAAUGGGCGCAAGCCUGAUGCAGCGACGCCGCGUGGGGGAUGACGGCCUUCGGGUUGUAAACUCCUUUCGCUAGGGACGAAGCUUUUUGUGACGGUACCUAGAUAAGAAGCACCGGCUAACUACGUG
RNAcentral lists this ribosomal RNA (465 nucleotides) under uncultured bacterium. Its description in RNAcentral is "partial 16S ribosomal RNA". It matches the Rfam family "Bacterial small subunit ribosomal RNA", at positions 28 to 507 of the family's 1533-position model. The record is from RNAcentral.